Chiloscyllium plagiosum (whitespotted bambooshark) is the source of this 754-nucleotide RNA transcript. It is a transcript of the gene named putative nucleotidyltransferase MAB21L1, with no coding region annotated. The record is from RefSeq and is a predicted model, not a curated record. NCBI's taxonomy places the organism in Eukaryota, Metazoa, Chordata, Chondrichthyes, Orectolobiformes, Hemiscylliidae.
CCCUCUUUUGUGCUCGGAGAAAGCACCGCACGAAGCUCUUGGUUUUAGAUCUCCCAGAAGAGAUGUUUACUAAUUCAGAUAAAAUGUUGAGAAUUUAUCGAUGUUCGUUUCUUUUCGAAGGGAGGGCGCUUUCCAAAACACUAAAUACAUAGGAUAGAACCUUAACUGCAGAACAUUUGGAGAGGAUAUAAACAUUGUACAGUUGCCUGGAGGGAAUUAGAGGAAGACUGGGACAAUUUGAGGUUAAUCCAGUACAGCGAUAUCGCCGGGAGUAAAACAGUCUGCUAUCAGAAUUUAAUUUGAACGAAGUUGGAGAUACCGUCGAAUGGGACCUGUUCUGGCCUGAUUUUACGAAAGAUAAACGACGGGAUGGGCACAUGGAAGAAUAAGAUGGAGAUGACAAGUAUUGACAACUCGGGAUUUAGGUAACGUGGAGCGACUAACAAAGAAAAGAAAUAGUGGGAAAAGCUAGAGGUUUAUCUGAUUUCGGAUUAUAUUUAGAAGUACACAAAAACGUGUUGAAAUCGGGAAAGGUCGAAGUAAAUAUCGUGACAUUUGGAUAGGCAAUGCAAACAUUGAGAUCCAUCCGAGAAGAGCAAAGACGUAGUCACGCAACAAGGAAAAUGACAGAAACCCAAACCUAUAGAUUAUUCGGCAAAACAGAUCACUCAAGCUAGAAGCCGAGACACAUGCGGGAAGAGAUACCAGAGGAGAACAAAAAAAAUCUUUGGUCUGCGGCUUUCAUGCUGGUCUA